AGUGAACGCUGGCGGUAGGCCUAACACAUGCAAGUCGAACGGCAGCACAGUAAGAGCUUGCUCUUACGGGAGGCGAGUGGCGGACGGGUGAGGAAUACAUCGGAAUCUACUUUUUCGUGGGGGAUAACGUAGGGAAACUUACGCUAAUACCGCAUACGACCUACGGGUGAAAGCAGGGGAUCUUCGGACCUUGCGCGAUUGAAUGAGCCGAUGUCGGAUUAGCUAGUUGGCGGGGUAAAGGCCCACCAAGGCGACGAUCCGUAGCUGGUCUGAGAGGAUGAUCAGCCACACUGGAACUGAGACACGGUCCAGACUCCUAUGGGAGGCAGCAGUGGGGAAUAUUGGACAAUGGGCGCAAGCCUGAUCCAGCCAUACCGCGUGGGUGAAGAAGGCCUUCGGGUUGUAAAGCCCUUUUGUUGGGAAAGAAAAGCAGCAGGUUAAUACCCCGCUGUUCUGACGGUACCCAAAGAAUAAGCACCGGCUAACUUCGUG
Molecule: ribosomal RNA, 492 nt
Filed under: uncultured bacterium
Lineage: Bacteria
Description: partial 16S ribosomal RNA
Rfam family: Bacterial small subunit ribosomal RNA
Source: RNAcentral